AUCUUCUGGGUAGCAUAAAUCCUAAAACAGGGACAGCACAGAGAAGAUGAGCGUGACCUGGUCAAGGAAGGCACACAAAUUCCUGACACCUUCCAAUUUUUU
This is a small nuclear RNA of Dipodomys ordii (Ord's kangaroo rat), 102 nucleotides long. The record is from Ensembl. NCBI's taxonomy places the organism in Eukaryota, Metazoa, Chordata, Mammalia, Rodentia, Heteromyidae.